RNAcentral lists this ribosomal RNA (441 nucleotides) under uncultured bacterium. RNAcentral's name for it is "partial 16S ribosomal RNA". It matches the Rfam family "Bacterial small subunit ribosomal RNA", at positions 338 to 795 of the family's 1533-position model. The record is from RNAcentral.
CCUACGGGAGGCAGCAGUGGGGAAUAUUGCACAAUGGGGGGAACCCUGAUGCAGCGACGCCGCGUGGGUGAAGGAGUAUUUCAGUAUGUAAAGCCCUAUCAGCAGGGAAGAACAAUGACGGUCCCUGACUAAGAAGCACCGGCCAAAUACGAGCCAGCAGACGCGGUCAUACGGAGGGGCCACGCGUUAACCGGAUUUACUGGGUGUAAAGGGAGCGCAGGCGGGGCGUUAAGCCUGGUGUGAAAGGCCGGGGCACAACCGCGGGACCGCAUUUGGAACUGGCACUCUGGAGUGCCGGAGGGGUAGGCGGAAUUCGUGGUGUAGCGGUGAAAUGCGUAGAUAUUGGGAAGAACACCAGUGGCGAAGGCGGCAUGCUGGACGGUGACUGACGCUGAGGCUCGAAAGCGUGGGGAGCAAACAGGAUUAGAUACCCGAGUAGUC